RNAcentral lists this ribosomal RNA (554 nucleotides) under Xylariaceae sp. ZJLQ474. RNAcentral describes it as "eukaryotic LSU rRNA". The stretch from base 232 to 385 matches the Rfam family "5.8S ribosomal RNA". The record is from RNAcentral. Lineage: Eukaryota; Fungi; Ascomycota; Sordariomycetes; Xylariales; Xylariaceae.
CCUGCGGAGGGAUCAUUAGCGAGUUAAUUACAAGCUCCAAACCCAUGUGAACAUACCUACUGUUGCCUCGGCAGGCCGUGGCGCGCGGAAGGACCGCUACCCCGCAAAGCAGGGCAGCUACCCUGUAGCGGGGGGGCGCCUGCCCCGCGCCGCGCUGAAAGGCCUGCCGGCGGACCACUAAAUUCUGUUUCUACGUCUGUAUCUCUGAGGGCUAUUAUACAAAUAAGUUAAAACUUUCAACAACGGAUCUCUUGGUUCUGGCAUCGAUGAAGAACGCAGCGAAAUGCGAUAAGUAAUGUGAAUUGCAGAAUUCAGUGAAUCAUCGAAUCUUUGAACGCACAUUGCGCCUAAUAGUAUUCUGUUAGGCAUGCCUGUUCGAGCGUCAUUUCAACCCCCAAGCCCUAUUUGCUUGACGUUGGGAGAUUACGGAGACGUAACUCCUGAAAUAUAGUGGCGGAGCCGGGUCGUGCUCUAAGCGUAGUAAUACACACUCUCGCUUCUGAAGCCGGCCUGGGUCUCGCCGUAAAACCCCCUAUAUUUUUUAUUGGUUGACC